UACGUAGGGUCCGAGCGUUGUCCGGAAUUACUGGGCGUAAAGAGCUCGUAGGUGGUUUGUCGCGUUGUUCGUGAAAACUCACAGCUCAACUGUGGGCGUGCGGGCGAUACGGGCAGACUAGAGUACUGCAGGGGAGACUGGAAUUCCUGGUGUAGCGGUGGAAUGCGCAGAUAUCAGGAGGAGCACCGGUGGCGAAGGCGGGUCUCUGGGCAGUAACUGACGCUGAGGAGCGAAAGCGUGGGGAGCGAACAGG
RNAcentral lists this ribosomal RNA (253 nucleotides) under uncultured bacterium. RNAcentral's name for it is "partial 16S ribosomal RNA". It matches the Rfam family "Bacterial small subunit ribosomal RNA", at positions 524 to 776 of the family's 1533-position model. The record is from RNAcentral.